CUACGGGUGGCAGCAGUGGGGAAUAUUGCUCAAUGGGCGCAAGCCUGAUGCAGCCAUGCCGCGUGUAUGAAGAAGGCCUUCGGGUUGUAAAGUACUUUCAGCGGGGAGGAAGGGAGUAAAGUUAAUACCUUUGCUCAUUGACGUUACCCGCAGAAGAAGCACCGGCUAACUCCGUGCCAGCAGCCGCGGUAAUACGGAGGGUGCAAGCGUUAAUCGGAAUUACUGGGCGUAAAGUGCACGCAGGCGGUUUGUUAAGUCAGAUGUGAAAUCCCCGGGCUCAACCUGGGAACUGCAUCUGAUACGGGCAAGCUUGAGUCUCGUAGAGGGGGGUAGAAUUCCAGGUGUAGCGGUGAAAUGCGUAGAGAUCUGGAGGAAUACCGGUGGCGAAGGCGGCCCCCUGGACAAAGACUGACGCUCAGGUGCGAAAGCGUGGGGAGCAAACAGGAUUAGAUACCCUCGUAGUC
RNAcentral lists this ribosomal RNA (464 nucleotides) under uncultured bacterium. Its description in RNAcentral is "partial 16S ribosomal RNA". It matches the Rfam family "Bacterial small subunit ribosomal RNA", at positions 339 to 795 of the family's 1533-position model. The record is from RNAcentral.